This 497-nucleotide ribosomal RNA is filed under the name uncultured bacterium. RNAcentral's name for it is "partial 16S ribosomal RNA". It matches the Rfam family "Bacterial small subunit ribosomal RNA", at positions 28 to 507 of the family's 1533-position model. The record is from RNAcentral.
GAUGAACGCUGGCGGCGUGCCUAAUACAUGCAAGUCGAGCGAACAGACGAGGAGCUUGCUCCUCUGACGUUAGCGGCGGACGGGUGAGUAACACGUGGAUAACCUACCUAUAAGACUGGGAUAACUUCGGGAAACCGGAGCUAAUACCGGAUAAUAUAUUGAACCGCAUGGUUCAAUAGUGAAAGACGGUUUUGCUUUCACUUAUAUAUUGAUCCGCGCCGCAUUAGCUAUUUGUUAAGGUAACGGCUUACCAAGGCGACGAUGCGUAGCCGACCUGAGAGGGUGAUCGGCCAAACUGGAACUGAGACACGGUACAGACUACUACGGGAGGAAGCAGUAGGGAAUAUUACGCAAUGGGCGAAAGCAUGACGGAGCAACGCCGCGUGAGUGAUGAAGGUCUUCGGAUCGUAAAACUCUGUUAUUAGGGAAGAACAAAUGUGUAAGUAACUAUGCACGUCUUGACGGUACCUAAUCAGAAAGCCACGGCUAACUACGUG